GCUUUACCUCUCUACUGACUGGACAUGGGGACAUGGAGCUGCAGGAGCCUUUUCUCUGUGGGUAUAGGACAAGAGAAGUUCUGAAGUCCAUCAGAUUCAUCUGCCUCUCUUACAUGGCCCAUGUAGCAGCACCUGUCUGACUCACCCACCAAUAUAGCACCAUGACAGACUGAACCUUGUUGAAGUCUUUCCAACUCAGUAGGCUGGAAGGCCAAAAGACAAUUGUUCAGCAGCACAGGCAGCCUUCAGUAGACAAUCAGAAUGUGCCUACAGCUGAAGAGUCUCUCUGUUGUGAUGGCUUUGUCAUUCUUAAAUCUGAUUUCACAGAACUUGAAAAGAAGGUUUUUUUUGGUAUGGUCUGAGUAGCGGCAGCUGAGGAGAGUGCCAGAAAAGAAACUGUUCAAAAUAUGAUUUGGAUGAUACCAAAAAGGAACUGGAGGAGGUGCAUGCUGAUCUUGUCAUGGUCAUGCAGGAACUUGAUUUGGCAAGAGCUGAGGUAAAGCAACGUGUGUGAGCAUUGUCUGAAUGAAUGUUGCAAUACCAGCUGGUUAGUUGUCCCCUUUGUGGUGGUGGUUAGUGAAUGCUUCUUUUAUAUAUAUAUAUGCAUAUAUAUAUAUAUAUAUACUUAACAUAAGAAGGGAAUUUUAU
Long non-coding RNA from Columba livia (rock pigeon), 648 nucleotides. RefSeq lists it as uncharacterized. Lineage: Eukaryota; Metazoa; Chordata; Aves; Columbiformes; Columbidae. The record is from RefSeq and is a predicted model, not a curated record. The transcript has 4 exons.